UCCAACCCAACCUUUUUCAGUCGGUCGUUUAUUGCGAAAAAUAAUUUUAAGUUUUGAUGUGAAAAUAAUUUUGAUUGUGAAAUGGUUUUGGAAUAACUUUCAAUCGAUGGUGAAAACGGUUGAAAAAUGAAAGAUGUGAGGUCAAACGCAAAGUAGCGAGUUCUAGCGCAAGGCAUGACUUUAUAUCACACAUCGUACGAAAUAAAAUACCGCAUACGCAAAAAAAAUGAUAGGGAAACAAUGUGCAUAUAACAAUUAUGAAUAACACAU
This 270-nucleotide long non-coding RNA is filed under the name Lathyrus oleraceus (garden pea). RNAcentral's name for it is "Pisum sativum (pea) long non-coding RNA (PSAT_LNC004666)". Lineage: Eukaryota; Viridiplantae; Streptophyta; Magnoliopsida; Fabales; Fabaceae. The record is from RNAcentral.